GGGAUUGGACAUAAGAUGCUGCCGAAGCUGCUAUAUCAUAAGCAACUGAUGGCGGAGGUAGACACUUAUGCUCAAUUUCCUCUGUUUUAUCUCGAUUAGGCACUGAAUUAUCUGAUGAUGGAACUGGCACACAAACUGAAUCCUUGUCGAACUUGGCUUUGAUAGCCAUAGCUUCUGCUUUUUUCACCAAGGAAGAUGUUACAAAGUCCAGACCAUAGCAUCUUUCUAAAUCCCUGGCCUUGAUCUCGGGAAUAACAUAAGCCAUGUUGCAUAAGAAUGCCAGCUUAGAGAAAAGCUUGGAGUCUGACCAUGAAACUCGCCUUAACAACCUGGAGAAUGAUUCUCUAUCAAUGUUCAUCUCAUCAGCUUCUUCAUUGUCACCCUCAUAGUCUACUUCACAACCUUCUUCC
This 410-nucleotide unclassified non-coding RNA is filed under the name Hevea brasiliensis (rubber tree). Lineage: Eukaryota; Viridiplantae; Streptophyta; Magnoliopsida; Malpighiales; Euphorbiaceae. The record is from RNAcentral.